This 253-nucleotide ribosomal RNA is filed under the name uncultured bacterium. RNAcentral's name for it is "partial 16S ribosomal RNA". It matches the Rfam family "Bacterial small subunit ribosomal RNA", at positions 524 to 776 of the family's 1533-position model. The record is from RNAcentral.
UACGUAGGGGGCUAGCGUUGUCCGGAAUCAUUGGGCGUAAAGCGCGUGUAGGCGGUCCGGUAAGUCCGCUGUGAAAGUCGGGGGCUCAACCCUCGGAUGCCGGUGGAUACUGUCGGGCUUGAGUACGGAAGAGGCGAGUGGAAUUCCUGGUGUAGCGGUGAAAUGCGCAGAUAUCAGGAGGAACACCAAUUGCGAAGGCAGCUCUCUGGGACGGUACUGACGCUGAGACGCGAAAGCGUGGGGAGCAAACAGG